Molecule: long non-coding RNA, 181 nt
Organism: Thamnophis elegans (Western terrestrial garter snake)
Lineage: Eukaryota; Metazoa; Chordata; Lepidosauria; Squamata; Natricidae
Exons: 2
Source: RefSeq, a predicted model, not a curated record
GAAGCGCUUUGGAUAGUUUAGUUGAAAGUGGCAUGUUUCAAAAAAAUAAAGUGAGCAACCAAAACUGAACAUUAUUCCACCUUUUAAAGAUUUCCAGAGGAACCAAAAGAUGGGAAAACUUUACCAAAAGAAAAACUCACCUGGAGAGAUUUCCCCACUAAUUAAGCCAGGAUUGUUUAAA